This 343-nucleotide unclassified non-coding RNA is filed under the name soil metagenome. Its description in RNAcentral is "partial contains 5.8S ribosomal RNA, internal transcribed spacer 2, and large subunit ribosomal RNA". The stretch from base 1 to 120 matches the Rfam family "5.8S ribosomal RNA", at positions 35 to 154 of the family's 154-position model. The record is from RNAcentral.
GAUGAAGAACGUAGCGAAAUGCGAUAAGUAAUGUGAAUUGCAGAAUUCAGUGAAUCAUCGAGUUUUUGAACGCAUAUUGCGCCCUCUGGUAUUCCGGGGGGCAUGCCUGUUCGAGCGUCAUUAAAUAACCCUCAAGCAUAGCUUGGUGUUGGGCUUUUUUACGUCCUUGACUGGGAUGGGCCUAAAAAUUAGUGGCGAUGGCUUUUUUACUUUCAAGCGUAGUAAAUCUCGUCUUGCUAAAGAGGAAAAAGAUUUUUUUUCUGCCAAAAAUUUUAACAUUUGAAGUUGACCUCGGAUCAGGUAGGAUUACCCGCUGAACUUAAGCAUAUCAAUAAGCGGAGGA